AUUGAACGCUGGCGGAAUGCUUAACACAUGCAAGUCGAGCGGGGUGUAGCAAUACACCUAGCGGCGGACGGGUGAGGAAUACAUAGGAAUCUGCCUCAGAGCGGGGGAUAGCCCGGGGAAACCCGGAUUAAUACCGCAUGAUGUCGCAAGACCAAAGUGGGGGACCGCAAGGCCCCACACUCUGAGAUGAGCCUAUGUCCGAUUAGCUAGUUGGCGGGGUAAUAGCCCACCAAGGCGACGAUCGGUAGCUGGUCUGAGAGGACGAUCAGCCACACCGGAACUGAGACACGGGUCCGGACUCCUACGGGAGGCAGCAGUGGGGAAUAUUGGACAAUGGGCGCAAGCCUGAUCCAGCAAUUCCGCGUGGGUGAAGAAGGCCU
Molecule: ribosomal RNA, 380 nt
Filed under: uncultured bacterium
Lineage: Bacteria
Description: bacterial SSU rRNA
Rfam family: Bacterial small subunit ribosomal RNA
Source: RNAcentral